UACGUAGGGCGCAAGCGUUGUCCGGAAUUAUUGGGCGUAAAGAGCUCGUAGGCGGUCUGUCGCGUCUGCCGUGAAAACCCGAGGCUUAACCUCGUGGCUUGCGGUGGAUACGGGCAGACUAGAGGUAGGUAGGGGAGAAUGGAAUUCCCGGUGUAGCGGUGAAAUGCGCAGAUAUCGGGAGGAACACCAGCGGCGAAGGCGGCAUCCUGGACUGGUCCUGACACUCAGGAGCGAAAGCGUGGGGAGCGAUCCGG
RNAcentral lists this ribosomal RNA (254 nucleotides) under uncultured bacterium. RNAcentral describes it as "partial 16S ribosomal RNA". It matches the Rfam family "Bacterial small subunit ribosomal RNA", at positions 524 to 776 of the family's 1533-position model. The record is from RNAcentral.